RNAcentral lists this ribosomal RNA (271 nucleotides) under uncultured bacterium. RNAcentral describes it as "partial 16S ribosomal RNA". It matches the Rfam family "Bacterial small subunit ribosomal RNA", at positions 524 to 794 of the family's 1533-position model. The record is from RNAcentral.
AACGUAGGAAGCGAGCGUUAUCCGGAUUUACUGGGCGUAAAGCGUGUGUAGGCGGUUUGACAAGUUGGAUGUGAAAGCUCCUGGCUUAACUGGGAGAGGUCGUUCAAAACUGUCAGACUCGAGAGUGGUAGAGGGAGGUGGAAUUCCGGGUGUAGUGGUGAAAUGCGUAGAUAUCCGGAGGAACACCAGUGGCGAAAGCGGCCUCCUGGCCCAUUUCUGACGCUCAGACACGAAAGCUAAGGUAGCAAACGGGAUUAGAAACCCGUGUAGU